UUUUUUCUCAGAUAAAUGAUGGUUUGAUCUGUUAUUUUGAUAUUUCUACUGGAAAUCUCUGGUGAACCAUGACUUAUACAUGCAUCUGGCUGGGAACAUUGAAUGCAAAGCUGUUUCAGGUUAGAUUCUCAGCUCAUAUGAAAGGAAGAUCAUUAAGUGCCGUAGAAUUUAUGUUUUUUCUACUGUGUUUUAAUUUCUUCAGUGUUCCAUUGAAAAAUGCUGAGUUGUGCUGUUUAAAGCUUGAGCCUAACUGAAUGGCAUUACCUCCAUUGUUCUCACCUUGAAAAUUUUUCACGAGCACAUGCGUUUUGAUGACAACAUGGCAGGUAUCAUGCUCGGUUCUGGUUCCUGCUUUCUAUUUUGGUGGGUAAGAUUUAUAUUGUGUUUAUUCCACUUAGUGUCAAAUUUUCAGUUUCCAGCAGAUUAUGUGUUGGCAGACUAACAGAAAGGGAUAAUUGUUAGCAUUGUAGAUGUGGAUCAAACACCAAACUGCUCCCUGCUGUUUGGUAGCAUCCUGGCUGGUUCCCAGCAAAGGACCGACUAUCUUGGACUACCUGGCAUGCUUACUAUAUGUAGAUGCGAUCUGAUGCAACUAACAGUGCUACAUUCUGGUAUAUAUCUGGUCUCUGUAGUGCAGUGAAUACUUGGAUGUCGCUGCUGCGGCUGCUUUUCUUUUAGGCAAUGAUGGGAAGAAGAGUGGGUAGUAAAAUAUGAAGCUUAGGUCAUGUAUUUCCCACUUGAAAAAGUGGUCCAGGUUUCAACUUUUUACUGCUGUAUGUUGGUUGUAAAUGAAAGAAAUUUGUGGUGGGGAAAGUUGCCAUUCCAAACGAUGUUUGUAGUAAAUGGUGGUCGGCACGGCAAGUAUUGUUAUCAAUUAUCAUAUAUAUAAUAUAAUAUAUAUUGUUUGUAAUAGCUCGAUUUUUAGUGGUGUUGGAAAUAGUGAUUCGAGGUGAUUAAAUUCGGC
This 964-nucleotide long non-coding RNA is filed under the name Gossypium barbadense (sea-island cotton). Its description in RNAcentral is "long non-coding RNA (GBAR_LNC006913)". The record is from RNAcentral. Lineage: Eukaryota; Viridiplantae; Streptophyta; Magnoliopsida; Malvales; Malvaceae.